GUGCUCAACAACAUGGAGCUACUAAACCUGACGGGAUGCACCCUGUUUUUCCAUGAUAAAUGUGUGUUGAAAUCAGCAGGAGGAGAGUUAGUAACGUUAUCUGUUAGCAGCCGGUGGGCAGCACAGUCCUGCUUGGAUAAAUAAUGGAGAUACGAACGUCAACGGUGGUGCCAUUGAGUUAUUAUUAUAAUAAUGCUCAAAAAACAGGGCUCCCCCAGAAGCCACGGUGUAAUUUGAACACUGUAAUUUACCGUGUAUAUAAUGUUUUUUAUGUCAAAUAUAUCGAGCAUUGAAUGAUAUCCAAUCUGAAAUGUUAUUCUCUUAUGAAGCGCAGAGAUUUCAAAAGUGGCAGAUAAAAUUUCUGAGUGGCAGACAAAGAUAAAUAUUUGUCUGCCACAGUGGCAGGAAGUGAAAAAAGUUAAUUUCAGACCCUGAUUGAAAAGUAUUUAGCUAUUUGCUGCUAGGAAUUUAGAACAAAUUGAUAUCUACUGUCAGCUUUCUCUCAAAGUAGGAGCUCUCUUACCUUUCUUUUUAACAAAAAUAAAAGGGUUUCAAGUUACAAAAAUAAAAUGGAUACAAAAUAACAACAAAAAGUCAAAACGGUUUUAAAAAAUGCUCUAAUGACAAAGUCAAAAAUGCCUGUCAGGAAAGAUUUCUCCCAAAAAGGGCUACAAAUUUAAAAAAGUCUCUCAAAAUGAAAAAAGAGAAAGCCCAAAAAGCCCCGUUUUCUGUUGUCUCUCUCUAUUUAUACUUUUUUUCCCGAGCAUCCUCCGUCUCUAGAUCCAUAUAUGGUUCAAACUUAAACAUCACCAAAUGAUUGGAUCAUCCGUUCUAAGUAACAUCUUUGAUCUUUUUAUGUUUUUAUAGUCUUGUUCUUGACACCCACACCUAUUGGAGAAGUGACAUCCUGUUUUUUCUGUUUUUAUAUUUGGCAGAUUUCAGCAUCAAAACCACAGAAUGUUUCCUGUUCCAGCUGAUAGCACGCAUAUUCUGUUCAACCGUUCACUGCAGUUUCACAAAUAACUACUACUCCUUCAGUUUUCAUUUGGGUGGUUAAUUAAAGUUGAUUAAUUAAGCUAGAGAGAUAGGUUCAGGUGAGGUGUGUCUCGGACAUUAUAAGUGCAUACUUCAACAGUUUCUACCUACCAUAUACCGAGUCUUUCCUUAAAAGCAUUCUUGCACUCAUUCAUAUAAAUAAAAAAAUGACAGUUCAAGUAGUUGUAAAAUCUGGCUUACUUUCACACCUCUACUGCAUGAAGCAGGUGUGAGUGUCUGUUACCUUGGUGCUCUGGGAAAUAAUGAUGGACAUAUUUCACUAUUUUUUUUUACAUUUUAUUGAUUCAACCACUAAGAGAAUAAUAGAGACAAUAAUCGGCAGAUUAAUUGAUAAUGAAAAUAAUGAGUAGUUGCAGCUAAGUUCAGAGUUGUUGUGUUUUGGCAUCUGCCAAUCCUUCAACUCAUUCAUUCUUUGAUCAAACUGGACUUGUAGCCAUGUGUGUGUGUGCCACUUUCGGUCUGAACGCCCCAAUAAGGUGUACGGUGCUUCCACUUCCACCAACAUGACCAACAAUUCAGUUGUGGCCUGUGCAGCUGAAUGAACACAUUCUGUGUUCUAUAAUGCAGACCAUGUGGACAGUGGAGUGAAAAUAGCACCGUACAACUGUCAAAGAUUGCUUCAUAUUAAAAACUGCAGCUGUCCAUUUCCCUUUUAAAGAUGUAAUUUACAAUAUGUCAUACAAGCCCAAUAACAUAAGAUACCAAAUAAAUAAUAAUAUAGAGGUACACAGCUUGUAACCAGCUCUACAUUCUGGAAUACUAACCAUGAUGGAGUGCUCACUAUUACCCCUUUUGUUGUGAUUCUGUUGUUCUGUUUUUUGUUGUUGGUUGUGUUGUGUUUGCCUGUUCUCUCUGUUCUCUUCCUCUCUGUAUUUUUCUCUUGGCAGGGCCUGUGUGUGGCGGAGGUGUGGCUGGCUCCGCCUGCAGCAGCAGAGGACGCACAUCGGUUCUCACUCAACCUCAUCAACCUCACCAUAAAAGCCUGGAUUCCACUCCACUACGGCGCCAGAUAAUUCCGUCUUGUUCGAUCUUCCGGUCUGCCUCGCUGCUGCUGCUGCUUCCGCGUCUUCAGUGACUGAGUUUUCCAUGUGCUUAGUCCUCGUGGUCCGAUCCCUCCGAGGCCACGAGCCGGCCAGGCAGCUCCUUGCCCUUCUGCCUGCGUUUUUUCUCUUUGUUGUAAAAUAAACUCUGUUUAAUUUUUUA
Long non-coding RNA from Sebastes umbrosus (honeycomb rockfish), 2259 nucleotides. RefSeq lists it as uncharacterized. NCBI's taxonomy places the organism in Eukaryota, Metazoa, Chordata, Actinopteri, Perciformes, Sebastidae. The transcript is spliced from 2 exons. The record is from RefSeq and is a predicted model, not a curated record.